RNAcentral lists this long non-coding RNA (217 nucleotides) under Homo sapiens (human). Its description in RNAcentral is "non-protein coding lnc-SMAD2-3:14". The record is from RNAcentral. Lineage: Eukaryota; Metazoa; Chordata; Mammalia; Primates; Hominidae.
AGGAGGACGCCAGGACUGCGUCCCGGAGCCAAGUGCGGGAGGCGCGCAGGGCCGGCGGCGCGCGGAGAAAUGAGCAGAUUUGCAGAAAAACUGGUGUCCUGAAAUUUAAAACUAAGGCAUCGGUGCUGGCUCUGGCUGAGAACAUGGCCAAUGACAUUGAUGAGCUCAUUGGCAUUCCCUUCCCCAACCACAGCAGUGAGGUCCUGUGCAGCCUCAA